GGUGUUGAAACAACAUGUUGACAAUUUUCUAUCUUGAUAGUCUGACAAUCACAGAGAUGCAUCGGUUUGUAAGUAGGAGGAGGAGGGCUCUGACGACGACGAAUGCCUUUUGUUCCUUCUAAUUCUAAGCCAGAGAUGAAAUGUUACUUUUUUAUGAUGCUAUUAUAAUUGAUAAGUUCACAAAUACAUUGACGACCAUCCAAUUUGGGAGGAGGAACCUAAUUUUAAUUUGGAGAAAUGGUCCAGAAAAUCCAACUUUAACCUUAAAGCUGCUGAAGUUAGUAAAGCUAGUUUUCGAAAGUAAGUUUGGUGAAGUUGGCUACUUUUACCACCAGUCAAAAUUUUCACCUCCAUCGUGCACUAAUCUUGAAUUUUGCAAUAAUAUUAAUUAUUUUACACAAAUAGUUUAUAGUUUUUUUAAUUAAUUUUAUAUUUAAGAUUACAAAUUUGGAUAUUUGGUGAUCUUCACAUGUCGAGGACAUGUUAAAUUUAUCUAUUUAUUAUUUAUUUAAUUUUUUUGUAAAUAAAUAACUAGCGAAGCAUUAAUAUAAAUCUUUUCGUUAACCAAAUGUUUGAUACUCAACUUCAAUAAUAGUUACACCAUCAAAUCACGUCAAAGUCAAACCUGCAACUGGUUCGUUACUUCAAAUGAUCAAAUCUGGAAAGAAAAAAAAUGAUAAAAUUGAUUAGAUAGAUGAUAAAAAUAUAUUAGUUACAAAAAAGUUAGUAUAGUAUAUAAUGAUCUUCAUACGGAAUUACAGCAGGUACCUUCAUUUUGAAUAGGGGAAUACUUUCCAGAACACUUGGCCCUCAGAAUUGGAUUGUAUAAAUCUCAAUGAAAUGGAACCAUACACUUCUCCAAUGAGGAUUUAUGUACAGAACUGUAGCAAUGCAAAGCACAACACAUAUGUAAGAUACGAUGAAGCUUACAUAGAAGACCUCCAUGUCCAUGAAACCGCGCUCCUCACUUUCAUCAUUAGCAGAUGGCAGGACAGGUGAUGAUCUAGUGCUAGUACAGUUGAUUGGUAAUGGACGACCACAAAGAUAAGGAUUUCCCUGGUAGCUAUCUUCACCAAAGGUUCCAAACUGACCUUUCUCUGGUAUAGUACCUGUUAAAUUGUUAUGUGACACGUUGAAGACUUCUAAAGUGUUUAACUUAAUCAGACCAUUGGGGAUCUUCCCACCCAAGUUGUUAUAGGAGAGAUCUAAGCUCUCGAUCUGAUGUAGGCUUGAGAAUGUUGCUGGAAUUGUUCCAUUAAGAUUGUUGUGGGACAAGUUGAUUGCAUGGAUCUCACUUAACUUUCCAAGGCUGUCCGGAAUUUCACCAUGUAAUUUAUUGGAAGAGAGAUUAAUUCCAGACAUGUUAUUGAGGAUGUAACCUUUGUAAGGAUAAGAAUUUCCCUUUGUCUUAAAUGUCACUAUAAUUGGCACUCUGUCGAGUACAAUUAUUGUUAACUCAGAGUUCUCCUUGGUUUUCCCCAUUGAUAUGUUACCAAAGCACUGCGGGAUUUGACCCGAAAGGAAAUUAAAAGAAAGGUCUAUCAAACUUAGUUUGUUCAUCUCACAAAACUGGUGAGGGAUCAUGCCUUCAAAAUGGUUACCGCUGAGUAGAAAAAAUCUCAUGCUUGAUAGAGUGCCAAUCCAUUGAGGGAUACUUCCAGUGAACUUAUUCUCUCUGAGAUCCAAUAACUCCAACGAAGAGCUAUUAUAAAAUGCUUCUAUCAGCUCACCUUCUAAUUGGUUAUUGUUCAGAUAGACAUGACUUAUUGUUGAUGUAUUGAAGCAGGAUGGGACCGAACCACAUAACUUGUUAUGAGAUAAAUCUAAGAGGUGAAGAUACUCGAGAUUGCAAAUUUCCAUUGGGAUAAGACCCUCAAGCUGGUUAUUAGACAUAGAAACUAUUAUCAAAUAUGUCAUAUUACCCACUGAAGUGGGAAUUCUGCCAGACAAAUGGUUGUUACUAAUGUCUAACACCAUUAAAUUUCUGGUAGACAAGCUACUUGAAAUGGUGCUUGACAAGUUAUUGUUGGACAAGUCCAGUUGAUCUAUAUAUUUUAAGUCACCAAAACUAGAAGGUAUACACCCAUCAAACAUAUUUGUUGACAUGUUUAAUAAAUACAAAUUUGGAAAAAUAGAAGUUAUGUUAAUUGGAAUACGUCCAUUGAACUUAUUAUUAGUUACAUCGAAAUUCUGCAUGUCAUGAUUGGUGCUUGUUGGCAACAUGAGAGUUCCUAUAAAAAGCAUUAGCUCUCAGGAGAAGUGUCGAAAGUCCUGUAUUGUUCUCUAACAACCAAGUUGGAAAAUUCCCUCCUAUGUUGUUCUUUGAGAGACUAAUAUAUCUCAAGUUUGAUUGAUAGUACAAAAAGUUGGGUAGUGUUGGAUGGCCACUACAAUUUGACAUAUCAAAACCUUCUAGUUGAAAAUUGGGAACCCAUUUUUCCAACUCGUUUUCAUUUAUUAUUUCAUUGAUUCCCACUUUUAAAGACUUUAAGUUCGAAUGAUUAAAGAAUGCCUUGAAAGAAAUUGGAACUUGAAAAUGGUUACUUGAAAGAGAAAGAACUUCGAGCGAUGUGAGUUUGGAAAGUGGAGAUGAGGCAAUAUUUCCGGUGAGCUUAUUGGAAGAGAGGUCAAUCCAUCUAAGAGAGGUCAUGUUUGCAACACAUGAAGGAAGCAUUCCUUCAUACUCAUUCCAAUUCAGAUAUAACUCUUGGAGGUUUUUAAGUUCACACCACCCUACAAAAAAAUCACUGCUUCAAUAGCCAUCAAAAAAAUAGAGAAUUUAAAGACUUCGCCCAUAAAAGGUAAGAUAAAUUUUUGUGUCCGAACUUACGUUUUAAGUCAGAAAAUUACAUUUUUAUUGGUGAAAUAUGGAAAUAAGUAGCUUAUUUUGAAUGUAACUCUUAUGAGGGACAAAGCCAGAACUCUAUAAAAAAUUCUUUUAUGCUGGACAUAAUUUUUACAAAUAUAAAAAUUCAUACGGAAAAGCAUUGUUUACCAAACAAGUCGUUGAAGUUUACCUCGAACGGGAAGGGUGCCAUUGAGUCCACAACUAGACAAAGAUAAAAUCUUGAGGGAACUCAAUGCUCCAAUACUUUGUAGAAAGUUCCCAUCCACAUCAGAAUAGUCCAAGAACAAUUGCUCCAACUGUCUUAAAUGUCUCAACGCUUAUGCACGAAAACAAUGGGAUGGGCAUUAGAAUUGGAGUUCAUAUUAUAAUUAGUAAUAUAAUUUUUGUGACUAGAAAUUACAACUCUUUCGGGAUACCAAAAGUUUCUAUAUUUCCGUUUAUAUAAUUGAAAAUAGAAAUAAUUGAAGAAACAAUUUAUUAAUGAGCAUGCUAAGUCAUGGAAAACAUUGUUUACCAAACAAGUCUUUGAAGUUUACCUUGAAUGGGUAGGUUGCCAUUGAGUUUGCAACUAGACAAAGAUAAAAUCUUGAGAGAACUCAAUGCUCCAAUACUUUGUAGAAAGUUCCCAUCGACUGUAGAAUUGUCCAAGAAUAGUCCCUCCAGCAAUCUUAAAUGUCUCAACUCUUAUACACAAAAGCAAUGGAAUGUGCAUUAGAAUUGGAGUUCAUAUUAUAAUUAGUAAUAUAAUUUUUGUGACUAGGAAUUACAACUCUUUAUGCUUACCAAAAGUUCCAAUACUUUCAUUUAUAUAAUUGUCCCGAAAAUAGAAGUGCUCGAGGUAUGAGAAUGCCUUCAAAGAUUGCACCAUGUUGCUAAUGUUGGAGACACUUAUGCCAUCUAAUUUUAGCACUCGAAGACGAUGCAUACUUUUGAUGCCUGGAAUGGAGAACUAUCUAGGGUAAUACUCAUCAACGUUAAUUAUUGAGAAAUGGGAAAUUAAAAUGUUUAAGUGUCGACGAUGAAAUGUAAUAAACAACAAACUACUAAUUUAGUGAUAUGGAAGGGCUGUGAGCAAAAUAACAGGGACGCUUCGGCUCAUGCAUAAGAAGGCACAAGAAAAGGAAAUUAAUAAUGAAUAAGGAUAAAGAAUGAAUUGAGGUGAUAUACCAUAAAUGAUAUACCAUAAAAUCAUUCAGAUCUAUCAAAAAGGAAAAGUAAAUUUAUUAAAAGGUCCUAACAAUAUAGUCUUCUUUUGACCUAAAAACAAUUUAUCACACUUGUAAAAGGAGACUCACUUAGUAUCGACAGAAUGUCGUCGUUGCUAAUAUCAUCGUUACCAUUGAAAUCAAGAACUUCCAGCUUGGUUAAUCCAAAGAGCCUUUCACUGCCUAGACAAUUAUUUCUCUUAAAAAAUAAUAUUAUGUUUCGUCAAGCUAAUAAAAAUUGAAAUAAUACCCAGAGGAAAUCAAUGUUGAUUAAGAGUACGCACACAAGCAUAAUGGUUGGGAAUCAAAAAAAUAAUAUUAUACUUCUGUAAUAAGGUGUGUUACAAUAUUAGAUGAAAAGAAAUUAUUAAAAAAAAAAAAAGGUCUUAUUUGUUGUAUAUGUCUUGUACCAGAAGUUCCCUUAAUCUUUCACAUUUGAAUUAGUACUUGGGUUGAUUAGAACUAUUAAUAUAUCAAUGACAUUAACAUAUGCGUUUCGUAAUGCUAACCGUAUUAGGAAGGGCAAAUGACAAAUGUUUUGAUCUAAUAGGAAAGCAACUAGCAUAAUUUUCGAAGUGGCUAUUCUUAGAUAAUCAAAUGAUCUAUCAAAGAACGAGCAGAAUACAAAGUAUAUUGAACUUACUGUUGCUGAAUUUUUUUCUCAUUAAAUAGUUGUUUCCAAAACGCAAAUACUUUAGAGAAGAAAGCCGACUAAGAAAUGACAAAAUUUUGUUAUCAAAUGAAUUCCAACUCAAAUCAAGGGCCUCCAAAUUUCUCAACUUCGACAGUCUAUCAAUACCUGCAACAAAGUUCAAUAUAUCUAUAAUAUCACUCGAAGGAAAAACUUAGACAACCAAAAAACAGAGGAGUAAUAAAAUUUAAUCAACUGGCUGGUUACUCGAGUAGAGAUUUCAUCUUGCCUUCAUUCUCAACCCAUCCUACUAACUGAUUCUGCUCCAAGAAGAGAUUUCUGAGCUCUCGAAAUGGAAGAAACAGAGAGGCAUUAAAAUACCAAUCUCCUAAUUUCCUCUCCCUAACGUAAUCAAGAUCAAGUUGGAUUACUCGUUUAGUUGUGUUGCUGGAUUCAACCGAUUCCCAUUGACAACAAUCAGUUGCAGUCUCAUUAACCACCCAUGAAGACAGUGAUUCUCCAUCUGGGAAGUUUAUAUUUGCUCUAAGGUGCAAAAGAGCAACCUUCUCUUCCUCCCAACACCCUAACAAUACCAUUCAUUUAGUAAUGAAAGCACAAUCAUCACUAGAAUUACCAGUAACUUAAUUCCCAUCUUUCUUAACUGCUAAGCCACAAAUUCUUACUUUUUCUGGAUAAAUGAGGUUGCAAACUCUCCAAUUUAUAGCACUAAGUGGAUUUGACGUGUUAGGCGGUUUGUUUUUAUUAUAGACUUUUCCUUGAAGUUGUAAAAUUCGUAGCACUUUCUUAUUGUUUAAUUGAUUAAUAGGAAAUUGCCCAUACUUAGUUGAUUGAUUGAGGAUUAUAAAAGAACCCUAUAUGAGUUGAAAAUUACUGUCCAAAAUUGACCAUCCGACUUGCCUUCCACAAAUAAUUCAUUGACACAUCAUUAGACACCUAUUUUUAAUCACAAGUGAUGGUGAAUUAAAAGUUGAACAUGCAGAUCUCAACUUACACUAUAUAGUACUGACUUUUUUUUCUUCAUGCACAAGAAAAAAUUCUUUAAAUUUUUUCCUAAUGGAUGGAGAAGAAUUUCCAGGAAGGAUAUUGUUUUUCUUAAAUAUCUAUGUGCAAAAGUGUGUGGAAAAUCAUGAGAAUAAGAACUAAUCAGAAUUUUCUAUUUCCGUGUGCCAAGGGCAUGCCAGAUUCUCUUUUACUAGAAUUCUUAAUUAGCACCAUGUAUUGACCUAAUCCUACGUUCCGUCAUUAUUAUUGAAUGAUCAGCUCACUUUCAUUAUUAUCCUAGUUGUACAUUUUUAUUUUUAUUUUUUGCAAUCAAAUCAUUAAUUGAUUGACAGUUGGAAGAAGAAGACAAAUAUUUUGCAUUGCAAAAACAUUUUCUCAGUAAUGCAGUGCCCCGUGGACCACGUUCCGCAAAGUGGUGGAAAUUGAUGAAAUUUCUACAAUUUGCCCCACCUAUCAAGGUCUAUAAAUGUCUAUAUUACAUGAGAAGUAAAACUUACAACUUAUAUCUAUUUCGUGAAAUAUGGUUCAUUAUUUCUCUUUCAUAUUUUGUCGUUGAAGGAUAUAAACAAGAUUUUAAUUCGACUCAAAAUCUGUCAUUUAUUUAUUCAUCACUAAUGCUCCGUGAAGGAACCUUAUUGUAACGCUCGACCCGCUGGUACAAAAGCGUCGCUCAAACAAUUGUACUUUAAUUUUAGACUUAGAAAUUAUUUAAAAUAAUAGUUUAAUUUAAGAAUUUAAGCAAAAAAAUUUCUUUAAGAACUAUAUAUAUAUAUAUAUAUAUAUAUAUAUUUUUAAAUAACUACCAAUGAAUUUUCCAUUAAAAUCUACUUUUAAAUAGUAACAUGAUAGUAACAUAAUUUUAAAGGCAUUUAUUAAAGAAGAAAAGAGUUGAGCAAAUUCAUGCAUAUGCCUAUUUUAUUACGUGAAUAGUGGCAAGUACAUAUCUACGAAAUAAAUAAAAGGUAUGAUAGUUUUCCAUAUUAGAAGUAAGAAAGAAAGUAAUAUGUUUUGAUUUCUCAUUUUCACACGGUGGGUUUUAAAAUAAACUCGUUUGCAUAGUUAUCGAUGUCAAAAUUUCGUGAAAUUUUUAAGGAAAAGUAUGGAACAUCUUAUAAUAUGACAUAUCCAAAAUUAGCUUCCGUCGGCAUCAUAUGGGUAUUAAAAUAUAUUUCACUUUUACAAAGCGACCCAGUUGAAAGGCAAAUUGGUGCAGUUUAUUUAAAAUAACAUAUAAAAUUCCAUAGACAUCAACACCACAUGAUUUCCAAUUUAAUCAAUAGCUAAUCCAUGAAACUAUCAAAUCCAAUUGGUUUCAUCCAAAAAUUCGAAGUAACGGUCGAGUUAUGAAUUUCUGAAGUCAAAGCAGAAGCUGAAAAACAGCAACACUAGUCAGUGCAGUUUACCUUAAGUGACAUAUAAGAUUCCACAGACAUCGGAUUGACACGAUUCCAUGUUUAUUCAGUAGCUAUCUUAUAUGGUUAUCCAGCAUCAUUAGUUUUGUCUAAAAAUAUCAAGUAACGAGUGAACUAUGAAUUUUUUAAGUCAAGACAGAAACUAAAAUUUUUAAAAGACAGCAAUACUUUAAUUUGCUAACACUCUUUUUCAUUUCUUUUUGUAAACGGUGUUUUGUAAAUUGACUUCUAUAACACAUAUCUACUUUUAAACAUAACUAAUUCAUGAAGAAAUAUUCUUUGAAUAGUUCAACAUAUGACAUCCAUAGAAAUCCAUAUAAAAAGAAACAAACGUAAACAUUCAUGAUCGAAUUAAAAUUAUUAAAAUGCCGGCUUCCUCCAUAGUAUGUUGCAUCAUCUUCUACCAUCACCCACGCCCUAAGAAAAUUCAUUCAACUUGUAGGAAGGAAAUUAAUCCUUGAGUUUGAAAUUCAAUAGAUAUCAUCGGUGCGUUUCAUUAUCAAAUUAGAAAUUUCAAACAAUAGAUUCAUACCGUCGCACGUAGAUGGAUUUUCGGAAAACUCCAAUUAUUAUAGCAUUAUCAUAACAUGUAGAGCCGAAAAAUGAUCAUUCAAACUGUUGUAGUGCCGAAACACCGUACCCAGAGGUACCAUUUCAUUCAAACAUUUAUCGAAAAAUCAUAAUUUAAAAACAAAAUAAACACUUACACCUCUAUCUACCUUGAAUUUUUUUUUUUAGACAUAAAAGAACAAAAUGUGUAAAAAGUCUUUCUUCUUCUAACCCUUGUUAUUUCCUUAAACUUAACUUGACAUGAAAUAUAUAUUUUUUAAGAGAAAAUAAGAGUAAAUUCGGAUUUGAAAAGAGGUAUUGUGAAUAAGUGACAUUUCUCUUCUUGUAACAUUUCGUUUUAAUGAAAAACUAAAUGAGGAAGUUGUAUUAUCAUUAAAUUUUUUUAAAUUUAGUCUUUAACUAAGAAUUUGAAGAGUUUCUAAUCCAUAAAAAAAUAAUUCAUAUAAAAAGUUUUAUAAAAACAUAUAUACAUGGUGAUUUGAACUUGGGUUGCCUAUAUGAAAUACUAUGUAGAUGACCAUUAGGGCAAUGCAGUAAUUCAUUAAAUCUUUGUGAUUAAAUUUACUUAAAUUUAAUCUCUUAAAUUGUUAGGCUUUUAAUUAGCUUAUGGUUUGUGUUUUCAUAAUUUUAAAUGGGUUGAGUUUCCAUAGCUCAUUCCUUAAAUAGAUUAGGCUCGUGAUGCUAGAUCACCACAAAAUAAUAGCCUUAUUUCAUUUUAUUUCUUGAGCUUUUACACUUAUCAUUUUGCAUGAAACCAUUUGUCGUUGAUUAAUGAGACAUCAGUCUUAACAUUUAAAAUAAGAAAGAAAAACCCUUUACACGUUAUUUAUUUUGAAUAUAAUUGAAGCAGUUUGCAUAUGGAAAUUAUCAAUUAUUUUAUAGUUUUGAGAUUUUAUUACUUUACUAUGAUUUUAGAUUGUUUCAUGUUGAUUAAGAUUUUGCUCAUGGUAGUAUUUUAAUUAAUAUUAUGGUGUUUUGAAAUUUCCUAAUAGAACAAGUAUAUAUAUUUUUUGUAAAAAUAAGACCACUUGGUCUUUUGCAAAGUCGUUUUAUAAAGUGGACUUGCUGAAAUGAAAAAUUGUGUGUUCUCAAUUAUGUGUCCAAAUUCUCAAUAUACUACGAUUCAACAAGUGUUUUAUAGCUAGCUUCCUGAUAUUCAUGAGUAUUUGUCCAUAUAGAAUUGAUAUGCCUAACUCAAAAAUUAACAAUACACGAUUAAAAGUAGCAACUUAAUAUUAUCUAGUUAAGGAAAAAAAAAAUGAAACAAUAUUAUAGAGUUCAAACUUAGAAUGAGGUGCAGAUAAUUUAAGAACAGCUACUUUGAAAUUAGAAAGUGUUGGUUUGUGUAAGACUUCUAAUAGUCCAUUUUAAGAUUAGUGAGCUUUUGGUUCAGUUUUCUAACUUAAGAAUUAUAUCUAUAUCAUGAAAUAUGGUUCAUUGUUUCCAUUGACAGGGAUGGACCCAGAAUUUUCAUUAAUGUGGGCUAAAAUUUAGAAACAUCGAUGUAAUAACAUUUAUAGAUUAAAAGAGUCACUGCAAGACAAUAUUUAUUCAAGUAGUUCCGAUGAGAAUUUGAAAUAUGCAACAGAGCUGCCGACUAUGACAGUACAUACAAUGGUCACAACUUGAGUUGGGGUAAACUGCAACCUUAUCCCUUCCCUUCUUCACCCAUACUAUAUUUUCCAAUUGUGAAACCCACAUCACAAAGGCGGAAAAAAAUUCAAAUUCGACCAAAAGGGAAUGCAACUUAUCUUUGGCAUAUAAAAAGACGCAAAAAAAAAAAUGAGAAAAUACAAUUUUUUGUUUGGGAUUUCGAGAUAUACAUAGAGAGAGGGCAUGUCUGGGAUGGGUUGUGGUUGGGGAAUUGGGCUCAUUUAAGUUUACAUCCUAAAUGUACUUCUUGAAAUGAAGCAUUCAAUUACCAUUCCUCUCAAUGCAAACCAUUCAAUCGAUUUUGAAGGUCUUUGCACUGAAAUUUCUUCAAGAAAUAUAUCACUUUCUUCACUAACAAAUGCCAUUUUCUCAGCAAUGGAUUCCUGGCCCACAAAUUUAUCCCUUUUGGUUAGGGGUGGGCGCGGGUCGGUUCGGUUCGGUUCUAAAGAGAAUCGAACCGAACCGAACUUUUCGGGUAUCUAGUAAAUGGAACCGUCGGGUCCAAAUAUAAUUAUGGAACCGUUCGGGUUCGGUUCUGUUCGGUUCGGUUCGGUCCGGUUCGGGUCCGUUCGGUUCUUUACUAUAAUUAAAUUUUUUUAACAUUUAUAACAACAUUAUAUAAUUACAACUAAUGAUAUAUUCAAUGGUUUUGGAAUGUCAGAGACUGGUAAACUACCCUAUUCAAAUGAUCGCUACGAUCAAAGUUUCGGUUGGCGAAAGUCACAGUUUCGAUCGGAGGUCACAGUGUCGGCCGAUGAUUGUAUAGGUUUUGGAAUAUUAGCGAGGCUGCGAGAGUGAGUGCGAGAGUCAAGACAACGUUAUGCACUUUAGUGUUGGUGUUUAGGGUUAUUUAGUAGAUUUGAUCUUGUUUGGCUAAGAAAUGAAACAAUAAAAUGGGUAAUUGGGCCAAAAAUUAAAAAAUUAGAAAUGAAACAAAUUAUUUGACCAAAAAUUUGAAUUUAGAAAUUGUUAAUUUGUUUAGAAAAAAUUAAAAUUAAAAUAAUUUGAUUUACUCAAUAUAAAAAAAUUAGAAAUAUUCGGUUCUUAUUCGGUUCUUCGGUUCUUGGUCUAGAACCGAGAACCGAACCGUACCCGUCGGUUCUCAAUUCAGAUACCCGUUCGGGUAUUUAAUUUGACAAGAACCGUCGGGUUCGAUUCGGAUCGGUUCGGGUUCGGUUCGGUCGGUUCGGUUCGGGAGAUUUGCCCAGCCCUACUUUUGGUUAGAAAGUUUACUUAUCUCUACUUUUAUGCUCAAAUUCCUUUGAUUUUACAUAACUAAAGAAGUAAUUGAGUAAAAAUAAGUAAGAAUAGGGUAAAAAAUUAUACUAUUUAAACGAGAAAUUAAUAUCCGACAGAAAAAGGCUAAUUUGGCUAAAAAUUACAUGAGAAAAAACAUAUAAAUAACCAAUCACAUAAAUCCUACUCAUAGAUAAAGCUUAGAAACUACCUUGAAACAAUCGAAAGGCAGAUUUCCAAAUAUUGAGCCCAUCUCAGUAGAUUGAGGAUUGAUACAGCGUUGCCUAAUCUUCUAGCACCCAUGAAAGAAACGGAAAAUAGAGAAGGUGAGAGAUACAUGGAGCAAAAAAGAACAUCGGCUCUCUAAAUACAAAAUGCUCCUUAUUUUGAAGAGAUAAUACUUAAAAAUGAGCUCUAAAAUGCUCUUUAUUUUAAUUUUUUAGAAUAAAAAAUUGAUUUGACUUUCAAGCUAAUACUUAAAAAUAAGCUCUAAGAGAUUGUGUAUUUUAAUUUUUUAAAAUAAAUAGUGAGUUUGGCUCUUAAAAUUAGAGAGUCGAACUAAUUCUUUAUUCUUAAUGUACAAUGAUUUCAUUUAAGAAGUCAGGUAUUUCAAUAAUAUUUUUUUUAAACAAUUCAAACUGCGUUUAAAUUGAUCGGCUGUUGACAUAUAAAAAUAAUGUUAAUAAAGUAUGAGGAGAAAUUAAUAAUUGUUUCUUGAGAAAUGCAAAAUAAAGAGCCACAAUAGAGAAUAAUGUUGGAAUGAAACAUUUUUGACUCACAAAAUUUAAAAAUAGUCUCUAUAAUACAUGAAAUGCUAUUUAUAAAUAAAAGGUCUCUUGAAUAUGAGCAAAGGGGAUUGAUAUCUAGAUUUUGGUUUAAAUUGGACUAAUUGGUUUUAAUUUUUUGUUUUGGGCUUGGGCUAUUAUUAAUUUGAAUACAUACUUCGUUGAUUUAAAGAUGGGCUAACUGAAAUAAAUAAUAAAAAAAAUACAUAAUUACCGUAGUUACAAGAAACACUUUCAAAUUCAAGGAAAUUGUAGAAUUCUUUCAAAAAUCACAUGGUCAUAUUUAUGAUCAUCUAAUAAAAUUUUAUGACUUAUUAAUUAAUUCAACUGCUCAAGAUCAUGAUAACAUAUAAUUUAUUGUCACAAUCAUAUACAAGUCAUAUCGCAGAAUGCCACAGUUAGAAAAAAAAACAAAUUGUGGGUCACUAUUACAAAUUUAAUAGCAAACUACAAUUUUAUUAUGUAGGGCAGUGGACUUAGAUAUGUAGUGGCAGCGAUGAGCUGUUGCUGAUGUGGGUGUGGAUUGGAAAAUUGGGGUUUGGAUUCGGAAGAAAUGAAUUAAUUGAUAGGGUAGUGUAGUGUGAGGUAGUGUGGGUUAGAGUAUAAACCUUACUUAAGACAAAUUUAAUUCUCAUUUUACAAAUGAAAAGAUAGAAAAAAGGAAUGGGAGUAAUUUUUCCUAAAAAAAUUAUAAAAGUUGGAUGUGGACUAUAGCUGGCACGAGUUGAUGCCCAGUGUAAUGCCCCGAAAAUUUUGUGGAAUAAAAUUUAUUUAUUCUUUAUGCUAUAUUUAUAUAUUUUGAAAUUUGAGGGAUUAAAGUGAACUAGUAUUAAUUUUAUUAUUAUUUGGGCUAGGUAAUUAGAUUUUGAUAGAGCGAGAUUUAGUAUAUCAAUAUUGGACUCAUUUUUAUAGUUCGUAAUAAAUAACGCAUUAUGAACUUGAAAAAUGAUUUAUUUGGAUAAGUUAGGCCUAAGAUCUGAAAGUUUAAAGAAGUUAUCUUUAAUCGGUAAUUAAUUAAACAUGGUUUAAGAUUUUAAUUUUAGGUAGCCUCCUAUGAGAUGAUAAAUGUUGAUUUUGGAUAAUGAUAAACUUUUGAGAUUUGGAUAAAGUUAUAUUGUAAUCUUAAAUUGAUUUUAAUAAAGUUUAAUAGCAAUCAAAAUUCUAUUAUUUGAAAUCAAUUCUUAUUCAAAUUCCUUGUAUUACACAGUUUUUCAGUUCUAGUUGCAUACAAACUCAAUUGAGAAUUUCAACUAUAAAUACUACAAGAAUUCUCAUUAUUUCACCAUAAAAAAAUAAAGAGAGAGCCAUGGUGGAGAGAAAGUGAAGGAGAUGAAAAAGAAUAGAAAAAUAAUGGGAGAAUUUUCUUGUGCAAGAUUUUACCUUCUUUUUACAACCUUUCAACAAUUAGGUACGAUAAUUUUGUGCAAGUGGUUUGUUUUCUUAUGCUUUAGGCAUUCAAUUAAAUAUGUAUGAAUUGCAAUUGGACAUUCAAGUUCGUUAAUAAGAGAUAUGAAAUGCUUUGGGAAUUUAAGAGGACCUAUGGAUGUGUCUCUAGGUCACCGAUAUACUCCAUAAAAGAAGUGUGGUAUGGAGUGUUUAUUCAUUUGUUAUAUAUAAUUGUGUAUGAAAACUAUACACGUAUUUUACUGGAUAUUUUUAAAUAAUCACUCUUACAAUAAUUUUAUAGGUUAGCUCGAGUCGAUUGAAUCUGUGGCGAGACGGUGAUGCGGGCUGCCAAGUGGAAAAGUAAAAAAAUAAAUAUUAAUUUUUUUUUUAAUCUUUAAAUUUAUUAGUUGGUUUAAAGUUCAAAGUCAUGUUAUUUAAUUGGUUAGUUGAACAUGUUUAUUAUUAUUAUUUUUUUUAAAGAUGCAGUUUCCCAUGUUUUGUUUAAAUUUAUGGAUAUUUUAGUUAUUUUAUUUAAAAUUUUAUUUUAUCAUUCUACCUUCAAUACAAAGAAAAUAAAUUUUUUUGUAACACUUCAAGAUUUGUGAAACUUUGGGGUGUUACACCCAGGACUCAAUCUAUACCUAGGAGGAGGUGGUUUUGUGGUGAUGGUGGCGGUGGGAUGGUAAUCGGUGGGAAUUGAAGUCGUGUGGAACAUGUGGUGGGCGUGAGUAUGUUUGGUGGGCUUUGCGCAAUUUGGGAUCUUUCAUUUCUACGCUUUACUCCAAUUCUUUUGAAAAUAUAAAAUAAUAAUGGUAAAAAAAAAAAAAAAAGAAUUUGGCAGAAGAUGAAAAGAUAAUGUAGUUGUUGUAAUUUCCUCUGAAGAAAUUAGUUACUGUUUAAUCCAAACAUCAGAUGCUCCUUAGAGGUAAAAACGUUUGCAUAUUCAAUUCUUAUCUCUUAAUUAAAAGAAAAUUUACAAAGGAAGCUUCAGAGCUCUUAAAAAUGUGCUGUGCAGCGUAGUCUUAAACCUUCAAAAAUAGUAGCAAAUACUUCUCAAAUCUUUCAAAUAAAGUAAAAGAAUGGACCAAAGUUUUUAAAAAAUAUUUUUAGAAAACAUAUAAAUGAUUUAGAUAGAUAUAAAUUAUUGCACAUAAAAAAUAAUAAGUCACUUUGUGUUUCAGUAGUAAGGAACCCAUUAUUUUCCUUAGAAGUUCGGGUCCGCGGUUAACUCAAUCAGGUAUAUUUCUAUUGCUAUUCGGCCAUUCUAUGUGGCUGCACAAUCGACAUCCUAUGUGGCAAACUUUUAAAUUUUAUUUUUAAACCAAAAGUAUAAUUAACGUGUUUUUCCCAAAAAGAGCCCAACUUUUCAUCUUUCCAAUACCAUAAAGAAUGGAUCUACAGAGUACAUUUCAAUCUCUCUCUCUCACCUUAUCCACCGUCGCACUCCGACGGCGGCACCACCGAAAAUUAAAGCCUCAUCUUCUCUGAUAACUUUUGCUAACUUCUUUAAAGAAUAUUGAAUUGAAAAAUUGGUUGCGUCAACCCAAAGGCUGAAUCUCUUUCUUUUUCUUAACUCACCCGUACUCCGACUACAACCACCACCGAUUGCAACUCAUGGGCAGAAGAUUUAUAGGUGCUCGAUUGUUUGAUUUGCCAAGUUUCUCCAAAAGAAGGCGUGGAUGAAUUUGUAAGUGCUGUACAUUCUUUUCUCUACCAGUUUUUUUUUUUUUUUAAUUGAUGGAUGCAUUCUUGAAAGUGUUUUUAGCAUUCUGUUUAUUCAUACUCGGGAAAUGGGUUUAAGCCACUUCUUAGGUUUUUUCUAAAUUUUGUUUGCCCAAUUUCUUCAGUCUCUGUUUAUUUUCUGAGUGCCGUGGAAAUGUAUCGUUAAUGGAUUGCACCAAUUCAAUUUGUAUUUUAUAGAAGUACAGAGAGAACCCUUAUCUAUAGAUUUGCACCAUUGGCAUUGCUAAAAAUUUAUCUUGUCACUCUGCCAAAUUCAGGUUUUGAUAAUGUGUAUAUGGUUGCUGUAUGUGUUUAAAAUUCAAUGUCACAUGAAAGCACAUUUUCUUGAAUGCUAUGCUGCUGAAAUUUUCACAACCAUUGAUGUCAGACUUCUGUACCAUAUUAAAUUUUAAACAGAUAGACGCUGCUGCAAAUUAUGAAUGCUAUCAGUGAACGUUGCUGCAAAUUGAUCAAGAAUGCAUUACAUUUUGAACUACUUUUUUGUAGUUUCUCUUUGACCAAAUCAUUCACUUCUAAAUGCUUGUCCUCUCUUAUGUGUACGAAUUCUUGAUAUUCUGUGGAAUUAAAGAGUGUAUAAUGCCUAGCUUCUCGUGUUUAUUAAGUCGACACCAUUCUGUGAAAUUAAACAGUAACAAUAACUAGUUAAAAAGUAAAACAAAAAACCAAUAAUAGAAAAGGGAUAGUUGGUAUUGAUUAUAAAAUUCUUGUUGAUGGAAUUAGUUUUUCUUCCAAUACAAAUUGAUCCCGGGAAUCAUUUUUAUUUGUCCUUGUAUAUUAUUUUAGAUUUAUUGGUUGGGUGAGCAAUUUUUUCCUUGUGCUUUUCUUUGUAGCGAAAAUUCCUCGUUAAAUCUUAAUUCCGGGCUCAUAAAACAACCAAACGAACACCGGUUUACCUCGACUCGACCUGAGACUUUCACUUUCACUUUGGACUGCUCUCUUUCUCUCUAACCCCACAAAGGAGAAGGGUGGUGGUGUUAGCAAUCCACAAAAGUAUGGAGAGGAAGACGAAGAUAUCACAAUGGUUGAAUCUCACUCACAACUACACAUGGCUUCCCUCUCUCUCGGUUGCCUCUCUUCUCUCAACUCUCCUCUCCAUUGCUACAACACACACACACCACCAAAAACGGUUGGGAGGUAAAUACAUAUAUAUAGGUUAGUUUAGGUCACUCUAAUUGGGCCUAGGGUUCACUAAGCGGGUUACCAAUUAACCUAAACUAACGGGCCAAUAUUCAAUUCCAUAUUAAUCACUAAAUGGUCCAACUAACCAAAUAAUCAUCCAACCCAAACCCGAACUAUCCAAAAGUGUAGUUCAUCUUCGAGUUGAGCCAAGUCCAUGGUGUCGAUAAAUAAUCCGAUAACUGUUUUAAAUCAUCACCCGGAUUAUUGGGUAUCAAAAAAUCCAACAAUCUCCACCUUGAUGCCCAAUAAUCUGCAAGCAAUCAAAACACACAGUUUAUACUUGCACAAUCAAGAUAAUCCAAUAAAAUUGGAAUAACAGACCUUACCUCGUGUUUCCAACUUGAAACACAUACGAUACUUGCUCCAUGUACUCACCAGGGCUAAGGUCAAGAACACCCAAGUAGAAACAAGUAUUCACAGUGAACAAACAAUCAUGUAAUGAAGAUAUAUAUAGGAUAACACACACAGAGAUCUUUUCAAAACUACGUUCACACAAAACCACAAAUUAACACUUAGUUAAUCAACACACGGUCAUGCACAUAUGCAACAAAUGCAUAAAUGACCCUAUGAAAAAUCUCACCACAUUUAUCCUAUCCCAUUCCGUGUUACUCCCACCUCGAGAAUACAUAUCUCCUCUCAUCGUCCACCAUGCUCACUAAACCAAUCACUUAACUCAUAUCUAAUUGGCAAGUCACAAUAGAUCCUAAGCUCAGGAAUAAUUCUCUAUCACCACGUCAUUUCUCCUAACCUAUGUAGAUAAUGAGAUUCCACCUUACAGAAGUGAUAGAAGUGUCUCUCUCACACUCCACCUGUACAGGGUCUCUUUCACAGAUAAAGGAACACAUUUGAUCACAUCUCCACUCGUGAUCCAAAUGUCACACUCUACAUCCCUCGUGCAUAUCAUCAAUGCACCUCUAGGCAUCUAUACUCCACCUUGCCAAAAGACAUCCAACUCACUGCUAAUGCAUCUCAAACUCACUAUGGCAAAACAACACCUUUCGGUGACCACAAAGGUUACUCAUCAAUGCUCCCAAAAAAUUCACAAAGAAAAUAGUGAAGGUGGCACUUUCAAAGAGAAUCGAAGAAAGAGUCGAUUACUUCACUACAUUUUGAACUACUUUUUUGUAGUUUCUCUUUGACCAAAUCAUUCACUUCUAAAGGCUUGUCCUCUUUUAUGUGUACGAAUUCUUGAUAUUCUGUGGAAUUAAAGAGUGUAUAAUGCCUAGCUUCUCAUGUUUGUUAAGUCGACACCAUUCUGUGAAAUUAAACAGUAACAAUAACUAGUUAAAAAGUAAAACAAAAAACCAAUAAUAGAAAAGGGAUAGUUGAUAUUGAUUAUAAAAUUCUUGUUGAUGGAAUUAGUUUUUCUUCCAAUACAAAUUGAUCCCGGGAUUCAUUUUUAUUUGUCCUUGUAUAUUAUUUUAGAUUUACUGGUCGGGUGAGCAAUUUUUCCCUUAUGGUUUUCUUAACAAAUCUAUACACAACUACCUCAUUUGAGAUAUAUAUAUAUAUAGACAUGCUUCUAGAAACAAAUAUGGAAAGCACGAUCACUUAGCAUUUGUCUGACUUUAUUUCUUUGUGAAACAAGUAAAGCAAAAGUUCGAUUGACAUAGAAUAAAAAUUGUGAAAUAUAAAUCUGACAAAGAAUUAAUUGAAGAAACACAAACACAGGCACAGAGAGAAACUUAUAUAUGGCAUGCUCAUUGUGUAUAUAUAAAUUGUACAUUUCAUGGACUCUGUUUUUUCAUUCGUAGAAUCGGUGAAAAGUCGGAACUCUGUUAUCUUGAUUGGUCUUCACUGUCCCAAAAUUCUUGCACUUGUAUGUUUUUCUCAAAUAAGUAUUUUGCUCUAAAUAUUGUACCGUUCCUUCAUAUCAAAACUAUAUUUCUACUUUUUUUCGCAAAUGAUUUGUUUGAUAAGGUCAAAAUGAUUGUUUUAUCUAUACUUUUAAUUGAGAAAACUAAUAUGAUUCUUAAUUUAGGGGCUAUUCUCAAUUGAAAUUGUGAUGGAUUUUAAAAAUCCUUGUAUAUUUAGGUGUUAUCAAUUGAGAUUUUAAUGAAAUCUAUCAAAAUUUAGGAGUCCCCAAUUGAUAUUUUAAUGAAAUUCAAUGAAAUCUUUUAAAAUUUAAGUAUUCUCAGUAAUUAAUGAGUUUAUAAAGAUUUCAUUAAUAGAAUGAUUUUAAAAGAUUUCGAUGGAUUUCAAACUUAAAAAUACAAAUAAUCGAAUCUUUUGGCCAUUACAAAAGCACUAUUUUGAGAAAUUGCUUAUCUUGAAGUGCAACAUGAAAAGUUAAAAUAGUUAUAAUAAGUGCUUUUAUUUCUCAAAGGGUUUAUUCUUUGAUAAUCAUAUGAUUUACCAAAGAACCACUACAAUACAAAGUACAUUGACCUUACUGUCCCUGUAAUUUUUUCAACUUGAAAAAGUUUUAUAGAAAUUUUAGAUGCUUGAGAGAAGAAAGCCGACUAAGAGAUAACAAAAUGUUUCAAUCAAAUUAAUUGUCACUAAGAUCAGGGGCAUUUAAAGUUCUCAACCUUGACAAUCGAUUGAGAAUAAUAGGGCGAGAUUAGUUAAUGCAACAACAUCAGCAAGUGAUGGCGAUGGAGAGACCGAAUGGAUGGAAUAAUUGUGCCAACAAAUUGAGGUGUUGAAACAUGUUAACAAUUUUCUAUCUUGAUAGUCUGAAAAAGACAGAUGCAUCAGUUUGUAAGUCGGAAAGGAGGGCUCCAAUGACGACGACGAAAUGCUUUUUGUUCCUUUUAAUUCCUAGCAAGAGAUAAAAUGUCACUUUUUAUUAUGUUAUUAUAAUUGAUAAGUUCUCAAAUACAUCGAUGACAGUCCAAUUUGGGAAGAGGAACCUAAUGUUAAUUUGGAGAAAUGGUCCGGAAAAUCCAACCUUAACCUUAAA
RNAcentral lists this long non-coding RNA (18576 nucleotides) under Olea europaea (common olive). RNAcentral describes it as "long non-coding RNA (OEUR_LNC005270)". Lineage: Eukaryota; Viridiplantae; Streptophyta; Magnoliopsida; Lamiales; Oleaceae. The record is from RNAcentral.